This 1177-nucleotide long non-coding RNA is filed under the name Heterocephalus glaber (naked mole-rat). Its description in RNAcentral is "lncRNA (ENSHGLG00100042078.1)". The record is from RNAcentral. Lineage: Eukaryota; Metazoa; Chordata; Mammalia; Rodentia; Bathyergidae.
GCAGGGCCCGGCAGUGCUCUGAGCAGGGGAGCAGCGGGAGCGCGGGCCUGACGUCGGGCGGCGAGCAUUUACCCACCCGGAGGGGCGGCCGCGCCUGGGCCGUGCCCGCCGGGAGAGCAGUGCCAGGCGGCCACGGAGGAGCCGCUGUCUGGCUGCGUGGGGGCCGGGCAGCUCGGGCAGUCCGGAGCCCGCCCCAGCGCAGGUUCUCUGCGACCAGGAGCAGGCGAGAGGGCCCUGCCGGUCCCCGCUGAUUCCCCGGGGCUGCUCCUCCCCGUCUCUUCCCAGGACGGGCGGUCCUCGCCUCUGGGGAUGCCCAUGCCUGAGGUCAGCUCAGGCCGCAGUCGGCCGGGUGCGAGGCAGCCCUGGCCCGCUCCUUCCGCCCGGCCAGCGGACCGGUCCUCAGGGCUGUGGAGCACGGAGCGCGCUUGGUAAGAAAAUUAACACCAAGCACUGGGAUGGGCCACGAGCUUCGGGAACUGAACCCGCGGCCUCCUUAGCGCGGCCACGAAUUUCCCUGCUCGGCCUCAACCGCGCCCAGCUCAGCCGCGCAGCCGCUGCUUCUCUCAGAUCAGGGAAAUCACCUGGACAGUCUGCACCGAGCACCGGAGCGCGCAGCGUCCGGGAAAGCCGCAGUUUAACCUUCGCGUCUUCGUUGUCUGGGGGCGCAGAGGCCCAAGGCCUCCUGCCUCCCGCAGGGCCACACACAGCACCCCGUUUCCAGCACAUGCGCCAGACUCCGAGAGGACGCCUGUCCCCGUGGACGCUGCCUCUUCUUGUUCUCUGAGGCCUGAGCCCGGGACAGGGGGCGGUGACCGCGCCCCGCAGGCCCCGGGAUCGGCAUCAUCCUGCGGUAGCAGUUCGCGUCACGCCCGUCGCCUGCCUUGCUGCUGUGACUCCGGUUCGCUCACGUCAUGAGUGUAAGGGGCCGAGUGAAAGCGCCGCACACGUGCGUGUCCUCGGUCUGAAGCGGGCGCGUCCAGACUCGGACAGUGGCGCUGUCUGCGCGGUUCUUCGCCAGUGCCGCAGAUCGCAUGCUGCCGCGGGGCAGGUGCUGGCUUCCAGGGCUGCGCGCCAGUUGACUAAGAAGCUAAGCUCUGACCGAAUCAGUCGCUGCACUUGACGCCUCGGGGCCGCACACUCACUGGAACCACCAGGGAGGGAGCCAGGAGGACACAGG